RNAcentral lists this long non-coding RNA (287 nucleotides) under Brassica napus (rape). Its description in RNAcentral is "long non-coding RNA (BNAP_LNC008227)". Lineage: Eukaryota; Viridiplantae; Streptophyta; Magnoliopsida; Brassicales; Brassicaceae. The record is from RNAcentral.
UUAACCGCUGCUGUAUCUAGUAGUUAACCAGUCAUAAGUAUCCCGCAAACGCACCAAUUUCUAACCGCAGAACCAGUCGUACAAAUCUCUUAAAACCGCUAGAAACCGCAACCACCCGCAUCCGCAAACGCCCGCAAUCGCAACCGCAACCGCUGCGUUUGAACCAGUCAGGCCCUUAGAAUCUUAGAUAUGCCAAAGAUUCUUUUCUAUUAGAGAAAAAUAUUCUUCACUGAAAAAACGUUACGUUGUCUAUCUCUGGUUGUAUCUCGUGCCAAAAUAACUCUCUC